RNAcentral lists this ribosomal RNA (496 nucleotides) under uncultured bacterium. RNAcentral's name for it is "partial 16S ribosomal RNA". It matches the Rfam family "Bacterial small subunit ribosomal RNA", at positions 28 to 507 of the family's 1533-position model. The record is from RNAcentral.
GAUGAACGCUGGCGGCGUGCCUAAUACAUGCAAGUCGAGCGAACAGACGAGGAGCUUGCUCCUCUGACGUUAGCGGCGGACGGGUGAGUAACACGUGGAUAACCUACCUAUAAGACUGGGAUAACUUCGGGAAACCGGAGCUAAUACCGGAUAAUAUAUUGAACCGCAUGGUUCAAUAGUGAAAGACGGUUUUGCUGUCACUUAUAGAUGGAUCCGCGCCGCAUUAGCUAGUUGGUAAGGUAACGGCUUACCAAGGCAACGAUGCGUAGCCGACCUGAGAGGGUGAUCGGCCACACUGGAACUGAGACACGGUCCAGACUCCUACGGGAGGCAGCAGGAGGGAAUCUUCCGCAAUGGCGAAAGCCUGACGGAGCAACGCCGCGUGAGUGAUGAAGGUCUUCGGAUCGUAAAACUCUGUUAUUAGGGAAGAACAAAUGUGUAAGUAACUAUGCACGUCUUGACGGUACCUAAUCAGAAAGCCACGGCUAACUACGUG